ACAUAGAACAUUAGUUUAGCUUGGGAUCUUCAGCGCAGCCCGAGAUGUGUAGGUGCCCAAACCCCAAAAUUAGAUUAAUCUAAAUCCCAAAGAAGCUUAGAAAAAUCUCUGUCAAGGUUCCUGUUAUCACUAAAGGACUAGAAAGCAGAAUAAGCUGGUGAUAACUUCAGAUGCCUGAUUUAGUGUCUAGAAUGUUUUAGUUCCUUGUUUUUUAACGUAUUUUGGUAGAGUGGAUGGAUGCCUUAGUAACAACCGGGUUAACCACUCAGUCUGCCAAGACGGAUGACAACAGGUCUCAGACCUACGCUGGUGUUUGGACAACAGUGUGAGAAUUUGGUGGCACUGAAUUUGAUGUGACAGCCUGUGUCUGAAGAACGCAAAACGGGGUGGGGGGAGCAGACAAACUGUUAUCACCUGGUUCUCUUUCACAUUUACAGAUUGGUAGGAGCCGUGUCAGAAUCUGUCACUGCCCCUCUUCUGCGGGACACAGACACGAGUGGGUCAGACCCACCCAAGCGGGUUGGACAGAGAAGCGCAAAGCAGCAGGAGAUGUGCCAGGCAAGGACUAAGGCAUUAAAGCUCAUUGCACGGGUACGGCCAGAGGCAGGUGAGGGAGAGCAUUGCUUUCCCUGACAGGAGUGUCUUGACAGCUGUGGGAGCUGGGAACCGGCAGAGCAGGUAGAGCCGUGCGGGAGCCCAGGGCUGGAGCGGGGGCAGCUCGGCAGGGCUGUGCCAGCCCCCGCUGCCGGCACGUCUGUGUUUCCCUGCCCAAAACUCCCUACCCAUCUCCUCCAUCCUCACCCCACACCUUCCACCUUCCCGCCCGUAAGCGCUGCGUGCGAAGGGCACGGAUGUGAGGGCGUCAUCGGUGGGAGGCUGUGGAGCAACAGGCUGAACAGUCGGAAUGGCUUUGAACAGCUCAGCAGAAUCGGCAUUGCAGACACAUCGGCCGAAAUACAAUAUGCAUGCUGGAGAGACAGACAGGCGGCUGCCCAGCUUUUUUGUUUGCAAACGGGAAGGGAAUACGGAGCCAGCAGCCCCGGUCGAUUCUGCUGGGCAGAACGCUGCCGUUGUGGAGCUGCCACCACCGCCUUUUCUUUCCUGCUGAUAACGUUUGCUCCUUGUUCAUUGUUCAGAGCUGCUCUUGAGUUCCUCCUCCCCCACUUAUCACAUAUGCUGGAAAGGAGGAUUUCCCAAUAAAGGUAAAGAGAAGGGACUGAUAGUAAUGUUCCAGAUCUAACUCAAUUUAACAAGCACUACUCAAGCUAGUAAAGCUGCUGCUGUUUUGUUCAAAGAACAGUGCUGACAGCUUAUACAGGGAGGAGCAUUAACUCCAUCUGUUCCUUGUACGAGAUUUAGUAUUCCAAGAGAACUUUUUUAGUUAGAGAGAAAGCUUAAGCCUAAAUGUCCCUUGGAGACAUGGGACUGUCUUGGGUUUGUUUUACAGAAUCAGCACUGAGUUGGAAGCAGGUGAGGUUUUGGAGGACCCACAUGAGAUCCUGACACUCUUAAACCUGAACCCAUAGCCGUUUUGGACCAGAAGCUGAACUGCCCUCUAAAAUAAACGCAUACGAAGGGUCCAUUUUUUAGCCUGUUUUAUUGUUCAUAGACAUUUCUGAGUCUCCAGGUGGUGACUACCUUUUGCCUAACCAAUGGGACCACUAGCUGCCUGUGAAGCAAGGAGCUAAUGAUUGAGACUCGCUAGAAAAUGGUGGAGGGAGACUCUCCUGUCAGCAGAUCUGAAUGUCAGGCAGGGCUUCCCAUCGGUCUGAGGAUGUGCGACAUUUAACUUCCCCGCAAUCCCACACCGGGCUGCAGAAUCCAAACCACGACUCGUGUCCCGCCUGGGGAAGGUUCCGGCCAGUCCUGGAGUUUCCCAUCAGCGUUCGCAUUUUGUCUGAGGUCCCUGCAGCCUCAGGAGCUGUCAAACCACCUGCUUUUCUGCUUCCAUGCGGUUUAAACAGCAAGAGGAACGUGUGUGUUUAAGGAACCUGUUUACCGUGCAAAGGUAAACAGUCAGGUUCCAUUUUCACAAUUGCUCCUGUGUUAGAGGUGGAUGCAAACACUGAGUUGCCAGCGCUACUGCGUCACAGAUGCAAACAAUUUUCAUCAGGGCAAAAGCCCGGAUGAUACCACCAUGGCAACCAAUUUUAAAUAGAAACAAUAGUCCAGCUCCUUCACCGAAAUAAAGGCACAGGACCCGAGGAUCUGGUUAUAUAUUUGUGCAACAGACAAUACAAAUUUUGAGCAUUCGUAUUUUCUGUGUUUUUAUUGCUUAUUUCCUCAGAGCAUCUCAACAUGCUGUUUGCAAUUUACAUGCAGUAAAUCCUAAAGCAAUGAAGCCAUCUCUGUGUGGCUAGCAGCAGUCAGAAACCAGCAUGGUGGGUAAAGGAAGCUCUUGCCAACUUCUUUAUCUUUCCACUUUCAGAAUCUUGAUGUCCUCAGCAGAGCCGGCCAGCUUUCCCCCUGAAAAUCUCCAGCAGAUAAACAACAAAUCAUUAACACUGGAAAGAUGAAGUGCUGAAUCAUGCCUCCCACGCUUUAGAACUUGUGUUCCACUGAGUCUAAUUAUUUUGCACUUGCUACAUAAAUCUUUGAGCAGCCUCUUCCAAGAACAUUCAUGGUGAGGGCUGAAAAAGAGAAGAUUCAGAUGAACAGCCUAACGUGGGGACGAUAGUUCUGGUCAAGCUCGCUGGAAGCCAGUGUUAACUUAUCUCAUAGGAAUGGGAUUUUAUUUGGCCCCAAACAACCUCGAGCUAACUUGAAAUUGCCAUGAGAACAGCACAGUCCAUGUGCAGCUGACUGAGCAUAUAGAAACUGCAAACAGAUGUUGAACAUAUUUUUAAGCAUUUUAACCAGUGUCUUUUGUGUAUCUGAAAUGAGGUGAAAAUAUGUUAAAAUCCCACCAGAUCGCUCUCUCCCUCGUUGCAGCCUUAGCAGAGUCAGUGGGUGCAGAAAUAGGAUGCUACUUUUUGAACUUGCUUGGGUAUUUGGGGUGGGGAGUUACUAUCAAAAAAGCCAAAUGACUAACCUGCGGCAAAUUCAGGGAGGGCAUGUGUCAAGUACCCCACAGCUCUUCAUUCUGAGCAGGAACUUCAGCGCUCUGGUGUUGUUUUCCCCUGUGUCAUUCUGAUCUGUCAGGUAGUAUCAGUUACCAGAAACUAUGCGGGUUUAUUCUGUACUUUGUAUUCAAAUACAAAUGGAGCUGAAUACUUGUCAUAGUCCUUUGGGCAGGGCUCCUUACUGCUGCAGAGUUUAAUAUUGAGAUUGGCAACACUCAGUUAGCUGAUGUAAUCCAUUCCAUUACAGAUAUUUACAGCAUGCCAUAUUACAAUACAAAAGCAGAGGUUUAGAGACUAGAAAGAUGUGACAAGGAAAAAAAGCCAACCCAUUCAAAGGCGAGGCUGACACUGCAGGGGUCUAUUCCCCUCACUGUACAUUCCCAAAAAUUCCUUUUAAUGCCAUUCGGAGCAUCCGUGAUGCAAAAUUCAGAUCAGGCAUAAAGCAAACGGCAACUGCGCUGAUGGCAAACAAAGCCGCUGUUACACACACCACAUCCGACUGUAGAUCUGUCUUUAUCUUUAGCCAGUGACUCACGAUCACCAGCAUGGAUUGUCCAAAGUCACUCCUCGGUUUCCCCAUUCUUCGGCCAAGCAUCACAAGCCCCGGCUUAUUGUAACGCAGGGGGAAGGAGCAGCACAGAGGAGUGUUUGUUCCUCAUUCUAGUGGCCUCUUUGUGCUCCUGCAGUAGCCCAGGAGCUAAUACAGUGAUCCGUGAGUUAUAACAAGUCAGAAAACUAUGUGCAGCUUAUUUAUGUUGUCAAACUCCUCGAGAUUUCCUUCUGGAGUUCCUUGUUUACCUCUAAGCCUCUGUCAAUAAGCAAGACUCGUCAAGCAGCUCUUUUAGAUUGGAGGGUGGAAGCCGAGUGACUCCCUACCCAUUUAAGAGCCCAUUUUUUUGCUACAGCUCUCCCGGAGAAUCCUCGGUGUCUGUUGUGCAGAAUCAGCACUUUCAUUAGCACUAAUGGAGCCUCUUCUGGUGGAAGGCAUUGGAGAGGAUUCACACGUAACUGGGGAAUAUCUGUUACAGGAGAUACACACCCCACACUGCCUGGUGCUUGUGAUUUGAAGUGAUAAAAAAGUACAGAUAAUGCGGUAUGAAAGCAGUGCUGUGCUUCUGAUACAAGUGGGCCCAACCCAAGAGCUUGUUUCCCCGAAUUUCCUAAAGUUCAAGGAAGGCUGGAGCCAAAGUCCUUACUGAACAGUCCGAUUUUGUGUUUAGUUUUAUUUGUCGUGAAAGUGGCAAAAUUUGCUUUAUGAGACAAAUGUUAUUUGCCAUACCAUUGAAUCAGUUUCUUGCCUUUUGCACUGGCUUCUCAGUGCUGUUGGUAAAAAUAAUAAUGUAUCGUGUAAUAAUAUAUCAUGUAAAGUGAGUUCAGCUGCGUUUUUUCCCUUCCUGGCCUCUGCAAUGCUUGCCUUUUAAACAUUUUUAUACACUUAUUGA
This is a long non-coding RNA of Columba livia (rock pigeon), 4504 nucleotides long. RefSeq lists it as uncharacterized. The transcript is spliced from 2 exons. NCBI's taxonomy places the organism in Eukaryota, Metazoa, Chordata, Aves, Columbiformes, Columbidae. The record is from RefSeq and is a predicted model, not a curated record.